Molecule: ribosomal RNA, 509 nt
Filed under: uncultured bacterium
Lineage: Bacteria
Description: bacterial SSU rRNA
Rfam family: Bacterial small subunit ribosomal RNA
Source: RNAcentral
GAACGCUGGCGGCGUGCCUAAUACAUGCAAGUCGAGCGAGCGGAACAACAGAUUUACUUCGGGUAAUGACGUUGGGAAAGCGAGCGGCGGAUGGGUGAGUAACACGUGGGGAACCUGCCCCUAAGUCUGGGAUACCAUUUGGAAACAGGUGCUAAUACCGGAUAAUAAAGCAGAUCGCAUGAUCAGCUUUUGAAAGGCGGCGUAAGCUGUCGCUAAGGGAUGGCCCCGCGGUGCAUUAGCUAGUUGGUAAGGUAACGGCUUACCAAGGCGACGAUGCAUAGCCGAGUUGAGAGACUGAUCGGCCACAUUGGGACUGAGACACGGCCCAAACUCCUACGGGAGGCAGCAGUAGGGAAUCUUCCACAAUGGACGCAAGUCUGAUGGAGCAACGCCGCGUGAGUGAAGAAGGUUUUCGGAUCGUAAAGCUCUGUUGUUGGUGAAGAAGGAUAGAGGUAGUAACUGGCCUUUAUUUGACGGUAAUCAACCAGAAAGUCACGGCUAACUACGUG